Molecule: ribosomal RNA, 783 nt
Filed under: uncultured bacterium
Lineage: Bacteria
Description: bacterial SSU rRNA
Rfam family: Bacterial small subunit ribosomal RNA
Source: RNAcentral
AUUAGAGUUUGAUCCUGGCUCAGGACGAACGCUGGCGGCGUGCUUAACACAUGCAAGUCGAACGCGAAUGGGGGGCAACCCCCUAGUAGAGUGGCGCACGGGUGAGUAACACGUGGGUAAUCUACCUCUGGGUGGGGUAUAACAGUUCGAAAGGACUGCUAAUCCCGCAUAAGACCACGGGGCCUUCGGGCCCUGGGGCCAAAGCAGCAAUGCGCCUGGAGACGAGCCCGCGGCCCAUCAGCUAGUUGGCGGGGUAAUGGCCCACCAAGGCUCUGACGGGUAGCUGGUCUGAGAGGACGACCAGCCACACUGGGACUGGAACACGGCCCAGACUCCUACGGGAGGCAGCAGUGAGGAAUAUUGGACAAUGGGCGAAAGCCUGAUCCAGCAACGCCGCGUGGGUGAUGAAGGCCUUCGGGUUGUAAAGCCCUGUCGGGAGGGAAGAGUAAGGACGGUACCUCCUAAGGAAGCACCGGCUAACUCCGUGCCAGCAGCCGCGGUAAUACGGAGGGUGCAAGCGUUGUCCGGAAUCACUGGGCGUAAAGCAGGUGCAGGCGGCUUGUUAUGUCGGGUGUGAAAUCCCAAGGCUCAACCUUGGAACUGCGCUCGAAACUGGCAAGCUUGAGUACGGUAGGGGAUGGUGGAAUUCUGGGUGUAGAGGUGAAAUUCGUAGAUAUCCAGAAGAAUACCGGUGGCGAAGGCGACCAUCUGGCCCGUUACUGACGCUCAGACCUGAAAGCGUGGGGAGCAAACAGAAUUAGAUACUCUGGUAGUCCACGCUGU